RNAcentral lists this unclassified non-coding RNA (2254 nucleotides) under Acanthaster planci (crown-of-thorns starfish). RNAcentral describes it as "zinc finger MYND domain-containing protein 11-like, transcript variant X3". The record is from RNAcentral. Lineage: Eukaryota; Metazoa; Echinodermata; Asteroidea; Valvatida; Acanthasteridae.
GAACAGACUAGUCUCAGUCUGGACCCGGUUGUACACAUCUUCCUGUGAAGGCGUACAGUCCGUGCGUGUAAAUGUACAUGUACAUGUACAGUACGUCGUGCCCGUACGUACGUACACGUAGCAGCUUGGACCGGAAACCAGACCAUCACGUAUGCGAAAGCGGCAGCUGCUAUUGCUAAUAUGCUGUCGAUGUCAUCAGCAGUGCGCAGUCGAAAAAUUACUGAAAUCAGUCGGAGCAGAUCAUCAUGGCGCCCAUUUUGACUUCGCGGCGGAUGUCCAAUCCCCACACUGUCCAGCAGCUAUGGGAGGCUGUCACGGCCAUUCGUAACCAGAAGCAGGUGGCCAACAUGGAGCGUAUCUUGAAGUUCAUGAAGCGCGAGUAUGGUGUGUCUGCCAAGGAGACGCAGCAACAGCUGGCUUACGCCACCAAAGAUGGGUUGAUUGUCAAAGACAACUCGAGAGCCAAGAAGGGCGUCAGGGCUGGUCAAGAGCAAGAGGCCUACUGGUGUACUGUUGAACAAGAAGACGAGAGCAAAGAGUCCCAUGACUGGUACUGCUGUAAGUGUCACGGCCCAGGGGAGGUCCUGUGCUGUGGGUCUUGUUACCGUGUGUAUCACCCAGAUUGUGUGCCAGAGGGGGUUGACCUGGGCAACCUGGGUUCAUCCUGGACAUGUCCGGUCUGCAGGCAAAUCAAAUCUCCACGCCAGAAACUCACCAAACCAGUGUUGUACAAACUGCUCAAUCAUGUUCUGAAAAGAAUGAAGGACAAGGCACGAGAUCUUCACAAGAAGUUGAAUAUGGGUGCGCUUCCCAACUACUACAACCUCGUUUACAGGCAUGUUGAUCUUGCCACUAUCAUGCAGCAGAAAGUUGAAGACAAGAGAUAUCGCUGCAUCGAAGAAUUCCAAGCUGAUGCUGAGAUGAUGGUCCAUACGGCAGUCAUCUAUCAUGGCCAGACGCACGAGCGAACGGAUCUCUGCCAGUUUACACUCAACGACUGCAACUAUGACCUGGCAGAAAUCCAGCUUUGUAAGGAUUGCUACCUGAUGUCCAACAGUCGCACUGACAAAGGAUGGUUCUGCAAGCCCUGUGACCCUGCUCAUGAGGUUGUGUGGGCCCAGAUGAAAGGCUUUGGAUACUGGCCGGCUAAGGUGUUGCAGAGAGUGGACAGUAAUGUGGAUGUGAGGUUCUUUGGCAGUAGGCACCAAAGAGCCUGGAUACCGGAGGAGAAGACGAGAGACAUCAGUGUACACCACAGCAAGCUCAGUGUCAAGGCGACCCAGGGGUGGCGCAAGGCACUCAAGGAGCUGCAUACAUACCUCGGGAAAAACCCUAGAUCAGAUAGUGAGGAGUCCGUGGACAGUAAGCCCACACGGAAACGAAGUCGUGAGGACUCAAGCAAGACAGAAGGCUCCGGUGAAAAUGAAGAUGACGUGGUGUCCAGUACCUACAGUGAUGGGGAUCAGGUUGAAACAAAGCAGUCAAGAUUACAGGACCAUUCUGUUUCAACAAGUCAAGCAUCACCGGAUGGAGUUACAGCAGAUGAAAAUACAGUUAAGAAGGAGCAUUCCUCAUCCACUCCGCCGUCCUCCCCCAAUCCAGCUCCGCCAGAGGUCAUUGCACCUCCUCCAAACAAGAAGCUGAGGAGGAACUCCACCAGCACGGUGGAGCACCAGGAGAUGCCCCAGUUACCCAAGGUGCCAGACGGAGAGAGCGGGAGCGGUGCCCCGCUGCAGUGCAAGUGCCAAGAGGUGUUCGACGCCAUGCUGGCUGAAAAGCUGGCCCAGCAGCAGAAGGAAUUGCAGAAGGAGCACCAGAAGGCACUGGAGAAAGCUGUCAAGGAAGCCCUGAAAAAGGCCAAGGAAGAGUUUAAAGCAGAGAAGGAGAAGGCACUGGCCCAUGCCAAGGAGAGUGCCAAGAUGGAACUGGAGGCAGAGCGCAAGGAGGCCGCUGAGCGGGCCCAACAGGACAAGGACGAGGAGCUGGAGAAACUCAAGACCAAGCACAAGGAGGAGAUCUCCUUCACUAAGAAGCGACAGUGGUGUAUCAACUGUGAGCAAGAGGCCAUGUAUCACUGCUGCUGGAAUACCUCUUACUGCAGCAUCAGCUGCCAACAGUCCCACUGGCACAAAGAGCACAAGCGUCUCUGCCGACGCAAACGGUGAUGAGAAACCUCCCUUCCCCCAAAGAUGGCCAUCACAGUUCAACCAACGGGUCAACGCUACAAGAGGUCCCCAGAGGAAGAUUUGAAAAA